UGCUGGCAAAUACUCCACAACUUUCUUCAUGGUGACGUUUGCAGCCCUUUACAGCACUCACAAAGAACGAGGUCACUCGGACACUAUGGUGUUCUUUUACCUGUGGAUUGUCUUUUAUAUCAUCAGUUCCUGCUAUACCCUCAUCUGGGAUCUCAAGAUGGACUGGGGUCUCUUUGAUAAGAAUGCUGGAGAGAACACUUUCCUCCGGGAAGAGAUUGUAUACCCCCAAAAAGCCUACUACUACUGUGCCAUAAUAGAGGAUGUGAUUCUGCGCUUUGCUUGGACUAUCCAAAUCUCGAUUACCUCUACAACUUUGUUGCCUCAUUCUGGGGACAUCAUUGCUACUGUCUUUGCCCCCCUUGAGGUUUUCCGGUAAGCAAACUACUGAAAAGUUUAUUAAAGAUUCUUUUUAACCUAAAAGACACCCAAUACUUACAAAUUAGAAUUUAUUAUAACUUGUACUUGAAAACCUUUAAUUUUCCAAC
RNAcentral lists this small RNA (485 nucleotides) under Pongo abelii (Sumatran orangutan). RNAcentral's name for it is "processed transcript". The record is from RNAcentral. Lineage: Eukaryota; Metazoa; Chordata; Mammalia; Primates; Hominidae.